This is a long non-coding RNA of Cydia splendana, 385 nucleotides long. RefSeq lists it as uncharacterized. The transcript has 3 exons. Lineage: Eukaryota; Metazoa; Arthropoda; Insecta; Lepidoptera; Tortricidae. The record is from RefSeq and is a predicted model, not a curated record.
GUGUAUUUCGAGUCUCGGUCGCGGGGCUUGUGCGUGGGGUCCCUGGUGUCUCGCGUUGUGGUGCUAACUGCUGCGGUAUGCGUUACAGGCCCUAAUGUGCACGACAGACGACCCAUCACCGUUGUCACCGGCACCCGCUACCGGCACCCCUCGAGAGGCGUUCGGGUGCCAGUUAUGAGAGUCCUGAUGCCCAAACUUCCAGAAGACACCGAUGAAAGAAGCUAUAUGCUGCAGAAGUCAGUAGCGCUCCUCCUGUUGCAAAGACGCAUUCCUGAUAUAAUGGUCGAGCAACCGCUGCGAGCUAUCGGCAUUGACUACACGGGGGAAGACCUGCUAACUGGGCAGGACGAGUGCGUCGUGGUCGGCUGGCAUUUCUUAUAUGCAG